UACGUAGGGUGCAGGCGUUAAUCGGAAUUACUGGGCGUAAAGCGUGCGCAGGCGGUCUUUUAAGUCAGAUGUGAAAUCCCCGGGCUUAACCUGGGAACUGCGUUUGAUACUGGAUGGCUCGAGUUUGGGAGAGGGAUGCGGAAUUCCAGGUGUAGCGGUGAAAUGCGUAGAUAUCUGGAGGAACACCGGUGGCGAAGGCGGCAUCCUGGACCAACACUGACGCUGAUGAGCGAAAGCCAGGGGAGCAAACGGG
Molecule: ribosomal RNA, 253 nt
Filed under: uncultured bacterium
Lineage: Bacteria
Description: partial 16S ribosomal RNA
Rfam family: Bacterial small subunit ribosomal RNA
Source: RNAcentral